This 414-nucleotide ribosomal RNA is filed under the name uncultured bacterium. RNAcentral's name for it is "bacterial SSU rRNA". It matches the Rfam family "Bacterial small subunit ribosomal RNA", at positions 505 to 916 of the family's 1533-position model. The record is from RNAcentral.
GUGUCAGCAGCCGCGGUAAUACGUAGGGCGCAAGCGUUGUCCGGAAUUAUUGGGCGUAAAGAGCUCGUAGGCGGCUUGUCACGUCGGAUGUGAAAGCCCGGGGCUUAACCCCGGGUCUGCAUUCGAUACGGGCUAGCUAGAGUGUGGUAGGGGAGAUCGGAAUUCCUGGUGUAGCGGUGAAAUGCGCAGAUAUCAGGAGGAACACCGGUGGCGAAGGCGGAUCUCUGGGCCAUUACUGACGCUGAGGAGCGAAAGCGUGGGGAGCGAACAGGAUUAGAUACCCUGGUAGUCCACGCCGUAAACGUUGGGAACUAGGUGUUGGCGACAUUCCACGUCGUCGGUGCCGCAGCUAACGCAUUAAGUUCCCCGCCUGGGGAGUACGGCCGCAAGGCUAAAACUUAAAUGAAUUGACGG